This 31-nucleotide non-coding RNA is filed under the name Mus musculus (house mouse). The record is from RNAcentral. Lineage: Eukaryota; Metazoa; Chordata; Mammalia; Rodentia; Muridae.
UGGGAUGUAAUCGGAUCCAAAUGGUAUCACC